Molecule: small nucleolar RNA, 64 nt
Organism: Leptomonas pyrrhocoris
Lineage: Eukaryota; Euglenozoa; Kinetoplastea; Trypanosomatida; Trypanosomatidae
Rfam family: Trypanosomatid snoRNA TB8Cs2H1
Source: Rfam
ACCUGCACUUCGCUCGCCCCGUUCCUGCGUUAGUGGACGGUGUCGAUGGAUGGUGUGAGGAAGA